This is a long non-coding RNA of Scatophagus argus, 642 nucleotides long. RefSeq lists it as uncharacterized. The record is from RefSeq and is a predicted model, not a curated record. Lineage: Eukaryota; Metazoa; Chordata; Actinopteri; Scatophagidae. The transcript has 6 exons.
CAUCUCUGGUGUUUUACUGACCCCUGCUGGGCGACCCCGUGCAUCUCCAAAAAGGAGGAGGAGAAGAAGACGAGUGAGGAAGAGGUAGUAGUAGAAGAAGAAGUGUUCUCCGUCACUUCCGGAUAAAUGAACGCACAGCGGACUGGAUGAGUGUGUGUUCGUGUGUGUGCAGGCGUCGAGAUGAAAAGGACCGCAGGGAUGAGGCCCGUGCUGCUCAGACCCCCCGACUGACGUCUGCUGCUCAGUGACACCAGGAGUGGUGAAGAAGGCAAAAGAAAUGCCUCUGAAAGUGGUGCUGAUGGGUGGAGAAGUCCGACAUGUCGAAGGUCUCGAGCGAGGCCAAGUGACUUCACAGCUUCCAGUCGGCGUCGGUGAAAGAGUUUGUCUGUAAUCUUGUCGAUGCUGUGAAACCAGAGCGCACAGCAAACGUCAGGGUUUCACCGAUACGACGGGACUUUGAUGCAGAUUUAAUCUGAAUGAAAACCAGUUCGUCUGCCAAGAGGAUUAAAGAUCAUAUAUGGACCUCUGACCUUCAGAUGAGCUGUACACCUACAGCGUUUGCAUCUGUGUCCACAGUAAGAUUUGUUGAGGGUGAAACCAUGUGUACAGUGAUGAGAAACGUAAAAAUAAACUUUAAACACA